Molecule: long non-coding RNA, 956 nt
Filed under: Neodiprion pinetum (white pine sawfly)
Lineage: Eukaryota; Metazoa; Arthropoda; Insecta; Hymenoptera; Diprionidae
Description: uncharacterized LOC124212016
Source: RNAcentral
AUCGAAAUCCAUGGACGUAUCGAAGUGCCGUGAGUUGUACACGGAUUUGUGUAGGCACUAGCGCCAUCUAGGCUGUACUCCGAUAACCUGGCUACGAAAACAUCCGACAAACAAGCGCGAAAUACACUUUCAAAUUUGCUUGUUUCCUCAAAAUCUUCGACCGCGGCGGAGCGUGAGGACCGCAGGCGCUAAACUGGACCGCCAUUUUCAAAUGCACCGGCAGCACUGAUUAAGGAAUGUUCACAAUUAAUCUCUAGCUAAAACGUGUUGAAUAUUCUGAUGAAACUUAAGUUGUUAUUCGCUUGGUAGUCAUCAAGAAUUUAGAAAUAGACGGAUCAAGCGUACUUCUCGGUGACUGGACGGCAAGUGAUGCGAGCGACGUGAUCAUAGAAAUUAUUGGUGUCGCCCAUCUUACGUUGUGGGAUGACGUUUGAACAUUCUUCAGUUAACAGCGAUGAUAAAUGGCGCCAAUUAGUUGAUGUCCUGCUAACAAUUAGUCAACAACAUUCCUACAGAACGGCUCAAAAACUGAAGGCCGUAAUACAUAUUCCAAAUAUUUUUACUUAGAAUUUAGAGCCUUUUUCAUUGUGAAUUAACGAUAAAUAGUAAGUAGGCAUAAUCAUAACUGAUCAUAACUGUACUUGAGCAUACGUAAGCUGAUAAUAUAAAUGAUGUUCGAAUACAUCGUCACGUGUACAUAAUAUUUUGCAGCAUUUUAUCAGAAGUCAAAAAAGUUUCAAAAAUUGAAAUACGUGCAAAAAAACGAAUUGCUACUAGCUGGAAAAUACUGUAGUAAAUAAUCGGUAAACAGACAACCGUAGCUGUGUCAGCAUGGAAAUUAAACAGUAAUUUAUGUUAAUUGCAAUCUUGAUCGGUUGGUAAUUAUUAUAAAGAUGAAUGUGUAGCUGGAGAAUCAUAUAAUUAAAAAACAAAGAUAGCAAUAUGAUGAAAAAUGA